CAUGAUGAUGAGAAUUUGU
RNAcentral lists this microRNA (19 nucleotides) under Ciona intestinalis (vase tunicate). RNAcentral describes it as "cin-miR-4120-5p". The record is from miRBase by way of RNAcentral. Lineage: Eukaryota; Metazoa; Chordata; Ascidiacea; Phlebobranchia; Cionidae.